GUAGGAUUUCUUAGUUAAAAAAAUUAAAACUCAAAUCUCAUAGUUUUAGGUGAUAUUCUAGAGUAGUUUAACAAAAAUCACUUAAAUCUCUGCAACUUAUUGAAAUCAUCUAAAACCCCAUUAAAAAUCAAAUCACAUCAAUUGUUAAAUUGAAUACAUCCCCCUAAUAUCGUUUGGACAGCUUGUUACUGAUAACUAUAUGGUGGGGCAAGUAACUGAUAAACUCAUAAUUUUGCAGGACCGAGCUUCGAGGAUGCUGAUUGGAGCGGGUGAAAGAGAGGGAGAGGGGUUGUACCGGUUUCGAGGACUUGAGAUCGUGACUUCUC
Molecule: long non-coding RNA, 326 nt
Filed under: Brassica napus (rape)
Lineage: Eukaryota; Viridiplantae; Streptophyta; Magnoliopsida; Brassicales; Brassicaceae
Description: long non-coding RNA (BNAP_LNC023500)
Source: RNAcentral